Long non-coding RNA from Mastomys coucha (southern multimammate mouse), 508 nucleotides. RefSeq lists it as uncharacterized. The transcript has 3 exons. Lineage: Eukaryota; Metazoa; Chordata; Mammalia; Rodentia; Muridae. The record is from RefSeq and is a predicted model, not a curated record.
AUGGCGCAGCCUCCCAACAUAUUCCAUACAGUGUCCCAAGACAUCUUCCUGAAAGCUGUCAGUCCAUGCCACUUACCUGCCUCAGAACCACUGAUGCCCCCUGGAUGGCUGAAAGCAGAAGGUUUGAUAGAUCUGAGGCCCAUCUAUACUGUGGCUCCAGGGGUCAUCCCAUUACCCCUCUAAGUGUAUGAAUGGUACAGACACACACUUUAAGUCCAGCCAAGAACCAGCUAAGACUACCUCCAAUGGCUCUGGCUCAGCAUGCCCAUGAUCCAGGCAAGGGUGAACAAUACUCACGAGAGGCGGUACCACCUCUUGCAAACCCCAGAGACUCUCAGCAGCUCAGGGAGGCACAGACAGGAAAAGAUCCCAAGCAGUAACUCAUCUGGAAGGGAGUCCCAGGAGACACCUGCAAGGAAGCAAAACAGGGUUUCCAUCUCUGGAUUCUUCACUGUCAAAGUCACGGAGUCCCGCCAAGCAUUGAUCAUGCACCAGCAUGUAUCAAGCA